CAAGCGGGCCGGAUGGCCGCGCCCCUAUCGGUCCGCUGGUAUGGGUGAGGAAAGUCCGAGCUCCACAGGGCAGGAUGCUGGGUAACUCCCAGGCGGGGCAACCCGAAGGAAAGUGCCACAGAGAACAGACCGCCAGCGGGCGAAACCACGGUUUCGUUGCGGGCAAGGGUGAAACGGCGGGGUAAGAGCCCACCGCGCUCCCGGAGACGGGAGCGGCACGGUAAACCCCAUCCGGAGCAAGGCCGAAUAGGAGCGGAGAGGCGGCCCGUCUCGUUAAAACGCUCGGGUAGGCUGCGCAGAGGCGCCGGGCAACCGGCGUCCCAGAUAAAUGGCCAUCCGUUCGGCGUUUAUUGCGCCGGACGACAGAACUCGGCUUACAGGCCCGCUUGCCUG
Molecule: RNase P RNA, 393 nt
Filed under: Candidatus Latescibacterota bacterium
Lineage: Bacteria; Pseudomonadati; Candidatus Latescibacterota
Description: RNase P RNA component class A
Rfam family: Bacterial RNase P class A
About the family: Ribonuclease P (RNase P) is a ubiquitous endoribonuclease, found in archaea, bacteria and eukarya as well as chloroplasts and mitochondria. Its best characterised activity is the generation of mature 5'-ends of tRNAs by cleaving the 5'-leader elements of precursor-tRNAs. Cellular RNase Ps are ribonucleoproteins.
Source: RNAcentral